CCUACGGGAGGCAGCAGUGAGGAAUAUUGGUCAAUGGGCGCGAGCCUGAACCAGCCAAGUAGCGUGAAGGAUGAAUGCCCUACGGGUUGUAAACUUCUUUUAUAAAGGAAUAAAGUGAGGCACGUGUGCCUUUUUGUAUGUACUUUAUGAAUAAGGAUAGGCUAACUCCGUGCCAGCAGCCGCGGUAAUACGGAGGAUCCGAGCGUUAUCCGGAUUUAUUGGGUUUAAAGGGAGCGUAGAUGGGUUGUUAAGUCAGUUGUGAAAGUUAGCGGCUCAACCGUAAAAUUGAAAUUGAUACUGGCAGCCUUGAGUACAGUUGAGGUUGGCGGAAUUCGUGGUGUAGGGGUGAAAUGCGUAGAUAUCACGAAGAACUCCGGUUGCGAAGGCAGCUUACUAAACUGCCACUGACAUUGAUGCUCGAAAGUGUGGGUAUCAAACAGGAUUAGAUACCCGAGUAGUC
RNAcentral lists this ribosomal RNA (460 nucleotides) under uncultured bacterium. Its description in RNAcentral is "partial 16S ribosomal RNA". It matches the Rfam family "Bacterial small subunit ribosomal RNA", at positions 338 to 795 of the family's 1533-position model. The record is from RNAcentral.